GAGAAAUAUAUUAUUCUUGGUUAUAUUCCUUUAUGCAAUGAAUUAUAUCAUAAGAAUACUGUUUGUGUAAUUGCAUGUUGUUUUUCCCUGGGUAAGGUUAGAAGGUGCUGUCUCCAAAUUCCAUUUAACUCUAUUCCACUAUGGUGAAUAUUUGGGAAGUUUUUUCCCCCUCUUUAUGUUUUAACAUUAUGUAAAGAUCUAUGUUCUGGAACAAUGGCUUCUAG
Molecule: unclassified non-coding RNA, 224 nt
Filed under: Hevea brasiliensis (rubber tree)
Lineage: Eukaryota; Viridiplantae; Streptophyta; Magnoliopsida; Malpighiales; Euphorbiaceae
Source: RNAcentral